This 433-nucleotide ribosomal RNA is filed under the name uncultured bacterium. RNAcentral describes it as "partial 16S ribosomal RNA". It matches the Rfam family "Bacterial small subunit ribosomal RNA", at positions 29 to 507 of the family's 1533-position model. The record is from RNAcentral.
AACGAACGCUGGCGGCAUGCCUAACACAUGCAAGUCGAACGAGACCUUCGGGUCUAGUGGCGCACGGGUGCGUAACGCGUGGGAACCUGCCUUUAGGUUCGGAAUAACUCAGAGAAAUUUGAGCUAAUACCGGAUGAUGUCUUCGGACCAAAGAUUUAUCGCCUUUAGAUGGGCCCGCGUUGGAUUAGCUAGUUGGUGGGGUAAAGGCCUACCACGGCGACGAUCCAUAGCUGGUCUGAGAGGAUGAUCAGCCACACUGGGACUGAGACACGGCCCAGACUCCUACGGGAGGCAGCAGUGGGGAAUAUUGGACAAUGGGCGAAAGCCUGAUCCAGCAAUGCCGCGUGAGUGAUGAAGGCCUUAGGGUUGUAAAGCUCUUUUACCCGAGAUGAUAAUGACAGUAUCGGGAGAAUAAGCUCCGGCUAACUCCGUG